This 536-nucleotide ribosomal RNA is filed under the name uncultured bacterium. Its description in RNAcentral is "bacterial SSU rRNA". It matches the Rfam family "Bacterial small subunit ribosomal RNA", at positions 777 to 1318 of the family's 1533-position model. The record is from RNAcentral.
AAUAGAUACCCAGGUAGUCCACGCCCUAAACGAUGUCUACUAGUUGUCGGGUCUUAAUUGACUUGGUAACGCAGCUAACGCGUGAAGUAGACCGCCUGGGGAGUACGGUCGCAAGAUUAAAACUCAAAGGAAUUGACGGGGACCCGCACAAGCGGUGGAUGAUGUGGAUUAAUUCGAUGCAACGCGAAAAACCUUACCUACCCUUGACAUGUCAGGAACCUCUGAGAGAUUAGAGGGUGCCCGAAAGGGAGCCUGAACACAGGUGCUGCAUGGCUGUCGUCAGCUCGUGUCGUGAGAUGUUGGGUUAAGUCCCGCAACGAGCGCAACCCUUGUCAUUAGUUGCUACGAAAGGGCACUCUAAUGAGACUGCCGGUGACAAACCGGAGGAAGGUGGGGAUGACGUCAAGUCCUCAUGGCCCUUAUGGGUAGGGCUUCACACGUCAUACAAUAGUACAUACAGAGGGCUGCCAACCCGCGAGGGGGAGCUAAUCCCAGAAAGUGUAUCGUAGUCCGGAUUGUAGUCUGCAACUCGACUA